AACGAACGCUGGCGGCAGGCCUAACACAUGCAAGUCGAGCGAGGACUUCGGUCCUAGCGGCGGACGGGUGAGUAACGCGUGGGAACGUGCCCUUUGGUACGGAAUAGCCCCGGGAAACUGGGAGUAAUACCGUAUGGUGUCUUCGGACUAAAGAUUUAUCGCCAAAGGAUCGGCCCGCGUUGGAUUAGGUAGUUGGUGGGGUAAUGGCCUACCAAGCCGACGAUCCAUAGCUGGUUUGAGAGGAUGAUCAGCCACACUGGGACUGAGACACGGCCCAGACUCCUACGGGAGGCAGCAGUGGGGGAUCUUAGACAAUGGGGGCAACCCUGAUCUAGCCAUGCCGCGUGAGUGAUGAAGGCCCUAGGGUUGUAAAGCUCUUUCAGCUGGGAAGAUAAUGACGGUACCAGCAGAAGAAGCCCCGGCUAACUCCGUG
RNAcentral lists this ribosomal RNA (433 nucleotides) under uncultured bacterium. RNAcentral's name for it is "bacterial SSU rRNA". It matches the Rfam family "Bacterial small subunit ribosomal RNA", at positions 29 to 507 of the family's 1533-position model. The record is from RNAcentral.